This 505-nucleotide ribosomal RNA is filed under the name uncultured bacterium. RNAcentral's name for it is "partial 16S ribosomal RNA". It matches the Rfam family "Bacterial small subunit ribosomal RNA", at positions 28 to 507 of the family's 1533-position model. The record is from RNAcentral.
GACGAACGCUGGCGGCGUGCCUAAUACAUGCCAGUAGAACGCACAGUUUAUACCGUAGCUUGCUACACCAUAGACUGUGAGUUGCGAACGGGUGAGUAACGCGUAGGUAACCUGCCUGGUAGCGGGGGAUAACUAUUGGAAACGAUAGCUAAUACCGCAUAAUAUUGAUUAUUGCAUGAUAAUUGAUUGAAAGAUUCUAUUGCAUCACUACCAGAUGGACCUGCGUUGUAUUAGCUAGUAGGUGAGGUAACGGCUCACCUAGGCGACGAUACAUAGCCGACCUGAGAGGGUGAUCGGCCACACUGGGAAUGAGAAACGGCCCAGAAUCCUAAGGGAGGCAGCAGUAGGGAAUCUUCGGCAAUGGACGAAAGUCUGACCGAGCAACGCCGCGUGAGUGAAGAAGGUUUUCGGAUCGUAAAGCUCUGUUGUAAGAGAAGAACGGGUGUGAGAGUGGAAAGUUCACACUGUGACGGUAUCUUAACAGAAAGGGACGGCUAACUACGUG